RNA transcript from Hordeum vulgare subsp. vulgare (domesticated barley), 2039 nucleotides. RefSeq lists it as uncharacterized. NCBI's taxonomy places the organism in Eukaryota, Viridiplantae, Streptophyta, Magnoliopsida, Poales, Poaceae. The transcript has 8 exons. The record is from RefSeq and is a predicted model, not a curated record.
CCUGCCUGUUCGCAGCCGCAGUUCGCUUUUGCUGUUCAUUCACGAUUCUCGCUUUCCCCCCAGGUUCCACGGCGAACGCUGCCGCCGAAGAUGAGCCCUAAAUCCACAACACCUCAGAAACUCCCUCGGCCGUAGCCCCCCCCUCCUUGCCGCCAUUAUCGAAAGGGAAUCGGAAAGGCGGCCAACCCACCGGUCUCCUCUUCAUCCCGCAGGGGUCAGCAAUCUCUGCGGGUUUCCACUCGGAUCUUUCAUCCUAGGGUGAUUUUAGCCGCAUGCAGUUCCAGUGGCAGCUUGUUUAGUGCGGAGGAAUAGGAAGAGUGUCCAAGAAUCGUAAUGCGGCAUCGUUUCACGAGGAUACCCGGUGAUGAAUUGGGGUUCACUAAAUUUGUUCACUGCCAUUGGGAUUUUUGUUAGAACGCAGCGUGCAGUUGCCAUGAUGUUUCGGUGUCGGUUGUGUGCAUGAAUCACCUGCUCAUUCUACUCCGGAUUUUAUGACAAUAGGCGAGAUGAAGAACCAGAAAAUGGCGAAUGGAUCAGCACGCGGCAACAACAAGGUGUUCGACAGUUUGGCUCGCAAAGAUGUUUCAGAUAUUGAUCCGUCUUACAAGGUUUUCUUGGAAAAUCUAAUUGAAGAUGGAAGUGCGUAUCUAUUCCAUAUGCCAAAUGGGGACCAUGGCUUGCCUGCUUUCGUCAGGUAUGAAGAGGAUGAUAUGUCAUAUGGAGGCACAAAUGCCAGAGACGGCACAAAGGUCCCCAAUAAAUUGCCACACACAAGCCGGGGUGGUCCAAAUGUUAAGCGACUAGAUCAAACAUCAGGCAGGGCUUUCGAUGAUGUGGGUCAUUCCUUUCUACCAAGGACAUCAUCUUUAAAGAAGAACACCUCAGAGGUUGAUGAAUCUUAUGCAGAAUUUCUGAGCCUCUUGAAGAUCAAGGAUGGUUUCAUGGUUCUUGAGCUGGAACCAGGUGUUACUGUGGUAUAUGAGCAAGAGGAGGAGACACCCCCUGGAUAUGAUGAGUUGAGAACUUUGGUUAUGUCUGAACGUGGAAUUGAUGGGCCUGCUCCAGACAAUUUGUAUAGUCAGGAUUUAAUCUGCACAGAUGAGCAUGGACGUGUACCUUGUACUGAAUCUUCUGAUUUUAACGCAUGUGAAGAUUGUGAAGAAGCGCCUCUUGCUCUUAGUUGUGGUGCUCCUUCUACAUUUGAUGAAAAACUUGAUUCUGUUUUAAGUCGGCCAUAUGACCAAAAUGAAUACGAAGAGCUUACGAGAAAAGCCACUGACCAGAAGCCUGUGAGCAGACUAAGACAAUUGCGAAGUGGAUCCAAACGCUAUGCCACAGGAUUCGUUGGACUGUCAUAUCUUGAUCACUACCCAGGUGAUCUGGCCAAGCAAAUCGACACUGCUGACACAAAUGAGAGGCGACUGAACCUCCUGCGAAAAUUCUUCUUCUGGCUAGAGAACCUAUGCCAUGAUGGAGCACACAUGCCAUGGGUCCCCAAGGGGCUGGCCUGCGAUCCCAUCGCCACAGAUGACUGACUGAGAACCAGAACAAAGGCGGGCUCUCCAGGAUGCCACGAGACUGAAGGAGAAACAGGCAGGGUGCACCUUCCUUGCAUCGAUGCAGCAAGGCUCCUUCGAUCGGUAGCUAUGUAGAUAUGUCAACCAUGUACUUUUGUCGCGCAGCUGCAUAUGCGCGCUAGGCCAAACUGAACGAGUGAUGAUUGCUGUGGGCCAGUUGUGGUGAAGCACCAAAUUAUUUUUCUGUUUUUGUGAGGGGAAGCAUCACAGUAUCUUUGUGGUACUUGCUCUUAUGGGGAAGAGGAAGGAAAUCACUGGCCAAGAUUGCUGAGGCGACUUUCGGCCCACUGUUGAUUUCCAAUAGAAUUCAGUGGGAGAGCAAGAGCCCGUUAUUAGAAAAACAAGGAAAUAACCAUGAUACUCGAAAUAUCUCAUGUCAAGAGAUAAUAACUUACUCCCUCCAUCUCCCAAAAGAAGGUUUGUAAAUUGUAACGUUUAUGCUUAAAUUUUGUGUUGGUCAAA